UAGAAGAACAGCCACCUCACCGAGCUGCCAGCAUCACUGGCCAGAUGGCCGCGCUGUUACGCGAACAGACUCGUCUCUGCCAUCAGCUGGAAGCCUUAAGUUGUGAAUCCUCCCCUUCAAUUCUUGUGGAGCCACCCCCUUGCUGCUCGGUCCUCGAUGCCGUCAGAGAAGAAAAUCGACGCCUACAGAACAUGGUGGAGAAGAACUCGGAGGAACUGAAAGAGAUACGCAAACUUCUGAAGGAACUUGUGGCUGUGAAAAAUUCACAGUCUUGAAAAUAGAACUUGCCAUUUUUGUUUGCGGGCAACUUCUUAAUCGAGUUGAACUGUUCGAUAACAAUUUUGGGACUUAAUAAAAACUAAGACUUGAAUCCCGACGACAGACUUGCCAGAAGUUAUUUAACUGCGUUCCUAGAAUUAUUAGGUUGAAUUUUAACGAAGAUACAAAUUUUUAAUUGCAAUUUUUGGACUAACAGAGGGUGUUUUCCCCCUUGGUAUUAAUUUAUAUUUUUGCAGUAGUGCCAUGAACAAUUUACUUAAUAAGUUAAUAGCAGGAUAAAGGGAGUUUUCUAGCAAUGCAAGCAUAUAUAUACUUAUUUUGAAAAAAAUUAUUUUUAUUUUUAAAAUAUAACUACAUUUCCCAACGACAUAUUAAUUUAAAGUAAAUCUUUGAUGUCGUUCUCAGAAAUAAGCCUUCAUCUAAAACGUUAUAGAAGCAGGCGGUGAUCGUAAAGUAUUUUCAGGAGACUGUACAAUUUAUUAUCUGAAAUGAAAUUUGGUGCGGUAAUAAUGAAGGUCUUAAAAAAUAAUCAUCUGUUGAGACCAUAUUUUUGUAGAAUAUAAAACAAUUUAGCAGCUGUUACGUUGAUGCAUACGGAGCUUAGCGUGCGAAAUAUUGUACGGAAAUAAAUCAUCGUAUGUUCGAAACUGCGAACGCAGUAACGCCAUAAAAGUUUUGGGGUCACAUCAUACAAAUUUGAUGUCAUCAGAUGUGUUCGUGUGAAAAUUCUGUUGACUCGAACGUGUAAUUAGCAAUUUAUAGUUCCUACUUGACGCUGUAUGUUUGAUACAGGCCGUCGGUAAUCAGAAGAAUUCCGAAAUAUGCCAAACGAAGCCUAGAUAUGACUUUCGGUGCAUGAAAAUUGUUGAUGUUUUUCAGAAAUUUUUUACUGUUUUGUUGAGCCCCGCGCGUUCAGCAGUGUCGAGUCUUUCGUAUUCAGGUUAGAGACGUAAAUAUUUGUUUAUUGUUUUAGAGUUUAUGCAAUUUGCUGAUUGUGUAAGACGAGUUUUAGAGAACUGUUAUUUACAUUUAAUACUUAAGUUUUCAGUGUUCCCGAGUUCUGAAACAUUAGUGAGGUUAUGAGAUCUGUAUUUUUCUACAGUGUUCUUUUUUUUUUUGAUAGUUCCACCUUCUGCCACCCUGCAAUACGUUAUGUACAUUAGAACUGUUAUGGUUUAUAAAAUAUUAUCCUUUUAUGUUA
Non-coding RNA from Zootermopsis nevadensis, 1480 nucleotides. Lineage: Eukaryota; Metazoa; Arthropoda; Insecta; Blattodea; Termopsidae. The record is from RefSeq and is a predicted model, not a curated record.